Long non-coding RNA from Juglans regia (Persian walnut), 352 nucleotides. RefSeq lists it as uncharacterized. The record is from RefSeq and is a predicted model, not a curated record. Lineage: Eukaryota; Viridiplantae; Streptophyta; Magnoliopsida; Fagales; Juglandaceae. The transcript has 3 exons.
UUGGCCGACAUUUUCAGAGAGCUUCUUCUUCAUCACGGGGUCGAUUGGUAUGUAUUGACCUUGUUCUGCAACUUGUGAUCUAUUGCUGAUCUAGCCAUUGCCGAUUCCGGCAGUGCUCAAUUCGCUGCCCUCUGCGAUAAGUGCUCAUAGCCUCUUCAUGCACGGAUUUUCCCUCCCGGAGCCAUAACAAAAUGCAUAGAGCAAUUUGUUUCCAAAGGCUUCGUGGUCACAUCGAAUCGGUGGAUUACCAGACUAUCACAUUGCAUGUGCCUCACCAGAAAUAUUUUGGUGAAUCAAAGAAUACGUUUCCAGGCUAGGAAAAUAGAAAGCAUUGGCACAUAUGGAAGGAACA